UUGAUAUCAGCCACAACACUCAUUCUCUAUCUCUCUCUCACACACUCACACUCAAACACGCCAAACACCAUUUUUAGCUUGGACGGAGGUUUCAAGCUCCGAUUUGAGCACCGAGACGAGCGCCGAUCAUCUUUUCGAUCAUGUAUCUAAGUAGGUCCUUUUGGGAAGUAACGACUUGAGGGAGAGAGUGACGUUACUCAUUGAUACAGAGACACAACGAGGUUGAGCUGAUGUGAUGAUGGUGCUGCAAUGAGCGGAGUCUCCAGGGUUGUUAAUAAAUAAUUAACCUGUCUAGAAUAUGUCUUCAUACAUAUGUCUAGCUACUUUCCGCUGCAAGAUGUUGUUGAUGUUAUAGUAUGUUAUGUCAUACUUUGAGUCUUAAGAGAAUGGUUUCAUAUGAUGUAUAACUUGAUUAAUGAUAUUAAUUAAAUUUUAUGCUGUCUUUCA
Long non-coding RNA from Salvia miltiorrhiza (redroot sage), 447 nucleotides. RefSeq lists it as uncharacterized. The record is from RefSeq and is a predicted model, not a curated record. The transcript is spliced from 3 exons. Lineage: Eukaryota; Viridiplantae; Streptophyta; Magnoliopsida; Lamiales; Lamiaceae.